UCCGUAGGCGGGCAAUUAAGUCAGAGGUGAAAUCCCACAGCUCAACUGUGGAACUGCCUUUGAUACUGGUUGUCUUGAGUUACAGUGAAGUAGAUAGAAUAUGUAGUGUAGCGGUGAAAUGCAUAGAUAUUACAUAGAAUACCGAUUGCGAAGGCAGUCUACUAACUGUAUACUGACGCUAAUGGACGAAAGCGUGGGGAGCGAACAGGAUUAGAUACCCUGGGAGUCC
Molecule: ribosomal RNA, 229 nt
Filed under: uncultured bacterium
Lineage: Bacteria
Description: partial 16S ribosomal RNA
Rfam family: Bacterial small subunit ribosomal RNA
Source: RNAcentral